UGGGGAAUAUUGGACAAUGGGCGAACGCCUGAUCCAGCCAUGCCGCGUGUGUGAAGAAGGUCUUCGGAUUGUAAAGCACUUUAAGUUGGGAGGAAGGGCAGUAAGCGAAUACCUUGCUGUUUUGACGUUACCGACAGAAUAAGCACCGGCUAACUCUGUGCCAGCAGCCGCGGUAAUACAGAGGGUGCAAGCGUUAAUCGGAAUUACUGGGCGUAAAGCGCGCGUAGGUGGUUCGUUAAGUUGAAUGUGAAAGCCCCGGGCUCAACCUGGGAACUGCAGCCAAAACUGGCGAGCUAGAGUAGGGCAGAGGGUGGUGGAAUUUCCUGUGUAGCGGUGAAAUGCGUAGAUAUAGGAAGGAACACCAGUGGCGAAGGCGACCACCUGGGCUCAUACUGACACUGAGGUGCGAAAGCGUGGGGAGCAAACAGG
Molecule: ribosomal RNA, 429 nt
Filed under: Pseudomonadota bacterium
Lineage: Bacteria; Pseudomonadati; Pseudomonadota
Description: Proteobacteria bacterium partial 16S ribosomal RNA
Rfam family: Bacterial small subunit ribosomal RNA
Source: RNAcentral